This 503-nucleotide ribosomal RNA is filed under the name uncultured bacterium. Its description in RNAcentral is "partial 16S ribosomal RNA". It matches the Rfam family "Bacterial small subunit ribosomal RNA", at positions 28 to 523 of the family's 1533-position model. The record is from RNAcentral.
GAUGAACGCUAGCGACAGGCUUAACACAUGCAAGUCGAGGGGCAGCAGGAAGUAGCAAUACUUUGCUGGCGACCGGCGCACGGGUGAGUAACGCGUAUGCAACCUACCUAUCAGAGGGGGAUAACCCGGCGAAAGUCGGACUAAUACCGCAUAAAACAGGGGUCCCGCAUGGGAAUAUUUGUUAAAGAUUUAUUGCUGAUAGAUGGGCAUGCGUUCCAUUAGAUAGUUGGUAAGGUAACGGCUUACCAAGUCUGCGAUGGAUAGGGGUUCUGAGAGGAAGGUCCCCCACACUGGUACUGGGACACGGACCGGACUCCUACGGGAGGCAGCAGUGAGGAAUAUUGGUCAAUGGGCGAGAGCCUGAACCAGCCAAGUCGCGUGAAGGAUGAAGGAUCUAUGGUUCGUAAACUUCUUUUAUAAGGGAAUAAAGUGCGGGACGUGUCCUGUUUUGUAUGUACCUUAUGAAUAAGGAUCGGCUAACUCCGUGCCAGCAGCCGCCGCAG